UACAUGGGGUGCAAACGUUGCUCGGAAUUAUUGGGCGUAAAGCGCGCGUAGGCGGUUACUCAAGUUAGCUGUGAAAGUCCUGGGCUUAACCUGGGAAGGUCAGCUAAAACUGUUUUGACUAUAGAGUAUGGGAGAGGGUAGUGGAAUUUCCGGUGUAGCGGUGAAAUGCGUAGAGAUCGGAAGGAACACCAGUGGCGAAGGCGACUACCUGGCCUAGUACUGACACUGAGGCACGAAAGCGUGGGGAGCAAACAGG
RNAcentral lists this ribosomal RNA (256 nucleotides) under uncultured bacterium. RNAcentral's name for it is "partial 16S ribosomal RNA". It matches the Rfam family "Bacterial small subunit ribosomal RNA", at positions 524 to 776 of the family's 1533-position model. The record is from RNAcentral.